Molecule: non-coding RNA, 45 nt
Filed under: Schistosoma margrebowiei
Lineage: Eukaryota; Metazoa; Platyhelminthes; Trematoda; Strigeidida; Schistosomatidae
Source: RNAcentral
AUUCAGCUGACGAGUCCUAAACAGGACGAAAUGCGCGUCCUUGAU